This is a long non-coding RNA of Hyla sarda, 1419 nucleotides long. RefSeq lists it as uncharacterized. The record is from RefSeq and is a predicted model, not a curated record. Lineage: Eukaryota; Metazoa; Chordata; Amphibia; Anura; Hylidae. The transcript is spliced from 3 exons.
CCUUCGGCUGUAGUAAAAAUACAACUCCUGCCACGUUCUACACUGCCUCCUCCAGUCGGCCUAGUUCUACAGCACCAGGCCUUUUAUUAUUGACAACCUUGUGACUAGGUCAUGUGACUGAUAUACAAACAAUAUGGCCCUUAUUUACCAAGAGUGUUGUGUAGGUUUCUUUGGGGGUUUUAAUUCCCUACAAUUUAUUUUCCACGGUAUUUACUAAGGUUUCCCUACAUUUUCCACUUUCCCUACAUUUUGAUUCUUUUACACAUGCUCUGAUCUGUCGGGUUUUCCUCAGCUUAAAUCCACCACAUUUUCUGAGGAAACCUUAGUAAAUAAGUUGGGUUUUUGUGAAAAUGUCGGGGACACACCCCUUUUCGGUGACCAUGUCCCCUUUUCCGAUAGUCACACCCCUUUUUCGGGUUUUCUAAGCAAAAUGGAGGGUUAGUCUGGGUUUUUUCAAUUCUGGUGCAAAUUCUGGCGCAGACAGUAUUUUUGGUGCAAUGCGCCAGAAUCUGGCGCACAACCCGACAAAACAUGUAAAUGAGGGCCUAUAUAACCAUGUAUAACCUGAGCCGUGCCUACAACCUUUACGUGCAGUUAUGGCCAACUGCGGGCACCAGGGCUGGUCCAAGGAUUUUUGUCACCCUAGACAAAAGCUAAUUUUGCCACACCCCCUUGACGCUGCCCAUUGGCUCGCUUUUUGACACACCCUGCCUUACCACUGGGGUGACACACUGUAACAAGCUCGCUCCUCGUGUAACUAGCUCACUACUGGGUGACACACUGUAACAAACCUCCUCCUCAUGCUGCUGGCUGAGCGAGCAGUUUGAAUGCUGGUUGUCUAUCUUUCUUGUGGAAGGCAGAGCGAUGCCCCCAUUAAGAGAGUGCUCUAGGCAGCUGCCUAUUUUCCCUAUAGGCAAAGCCGACUCUGACUACGGGUGUUGAUCCUUCUUGAUCUGAUGGCUGGCAUGGUGAGAUGCAACCGCACACAGAGUGGACAGAUUGCCAAGGCACUCAUUCGAUGUUUAGAUACAGUUAAACUACGGAAUUUCCAAGAGCAAUUUAACUCCCGAUGCAGCAGCCCCUGUGAAAUUUCUGGAUUCCGGGUCCAGCGGAAUUCUGCGCAAACUGCAUUGUGAAGUAUCAAUGUGUUACGAUGAUGUAAGAAGAUUCUCCAGAACCAGUGUCACCUUCAUGGAGCAAAGUACGUCUCAAACCUCCACUUCUGAAGACUGUUUGUAGGGCUGCAUCCAUUGAUUUGUACUUUCUCUUGAGAAGCUUCUACCUCCAGACAUGUCGGAUUCUUCAUGUUUUCUAGUACUAGAUGGUCGGACUAUAAAAAAAACAGACACCAAAGAGUCAGAAAAAAAUGUAAAGUAGAAGACAACAUGUAUGGAGAAACCAAGCCUUUUAGUAAGAAAA